GUCUUUUUAAAUAAAUCUUUAUUUCUCAAACUCAAAGCUUUAUUUCAUCAAGUUCUAACACAUUUUGCGUUGACAAGUGAUUUCACCUGCAUCCCAUGAGAAGGUCAGUGGCCAUUACACCAAAGAGGAAACCUCACACAACCUCGGAAAUUAAUAUUGGAAAGGCUAUGCAAGUACAGAAUAACAAAAAGCUUUCAAUUUAGUCUAAUUUGUAUCUUUUCAUCUAUAGUAAUUUGGAAAUUAAUGGAUAAAGACUUAAUUUUCCUAAAGCAGCAAUUUUUUUAAAUUCACUAAAAAAAAAAAAAAAGACCAGAUGGCUUGAGUUUUAAAACGCCCAGAGAUCCAUAUUAUUUAACGACUUCCUCUUUAGUGGAUGGUCUUCUCACCUUCGUAUGCAAACACACUUGACGAUUUACACCAACUCCCACUAGCCCAGGCAAAACUCUAAGCAAUUUCUUUUGCUUCCACUUAAAACUAUUUUUUAAGUGAUAGUAAACAAGAUUUAGAACUUGACCUCACAAAAAAGCAUUUUCUUUCCUGAUCC
This 544-nucleotide long non-coding RNA is filed under the name Bos taurus (domestic cattle). RNAcentral describes it as "long non-coding RNA NONBTAT018090". Lineage: Eukaryota; Metazoa; Chordata; Mammalia; Artiodactyla; Bovidae. The record is from RNAcentral.